UAGUCUAAGUCAUGCUUAAAUAUC
This 24-nucleotide non-coding RNA is filed under the name Arabidopsis thaliana (thale cress). The record is from RNAcentral. Lineage: Eukaryota; Viridiplantae; Streptophyta; Magnoliopsida; Brassicales; Brassicaceae.